GGUCCGUUCGUCUAUCGGUUAGGACAUCAGGUUUUCAACCUGAGAAGAGGGGUUCGACUCCCCUACGGACUG
This 72-nucleotide transfer RNA is filed under the name Pseudorhodobacter antarcticus. RNAcentral's name for it is "Pseudorhodobacter sp. ZS3-33 tRNA". It matches the Rfam family "tRNA". Rfam says of the family: Transfer RNA (tRNA) molecules are approximately 80 nucleotides in length. Their secondary structure includes four short double-helical elements and three loops (D, anti-codon, and T loops). Lineage: Bacteria; Pseudomonadati; Pseudomonadota; Alphaproteobacteria; Rhodobacterales; Paracoccaceae. The record is from Rfam by way of RNAcentral.